Molecule: long non-coding RNA, 726 nt
Filed under: Strongylocentrotus purpuratus (purple sea urchin)
Lineage: Eukaryota; Metazoa; Echinodermata; Echinoidea; Camarodonta; Strongylocentrotidae
Description: uncharacterized LOC115919289
Source: RNAcentral
AACAAACCCCGAAUUGUAAACAUCAGAUAAGAACCCCCAAAACAAAAGACUUCCUGUCUCCCUCCCAAUAACAAGACCCUUUCCCAGAACAGGUUACUUGUGGUAGCUAGAUCACUGGGGGAAUGUUACUGUUAUAAAAGAAGGCAGAGGUAUAUUUGUCAGAUUCACUUCUGUACUGCACCCCCAUCCAUGGGGCAGGCAGGGAGGUCGACUCUGCAAGCUUUUGGUGUUACUGUACAUUAGGUAUUGACAAUCAAGAUGUAAGAAGCGGGUACAAUGAGAGGAAACAGUCCUCUAGGCCAGAUUGCCAGGGUGAGUGGGUUAUCAUAUUCAAUGUAUAAACCACUAAUUCAAUGUAGUUUUAAUUGGGAAUUAAGUUUGAUUUUUUGACAAAGUUCACUUGAUGGUUGUAUUCAUUUAUUUGUUGGGAGAGUUAUCCAUUGCGAUGGAAGAACUUUAUUUGUGAUUAGAUACUUGUUAUUUUCAUGCAAUAUUGAUUAAGUUUUAAUGAAUGGAAUAUAAACAACAUGUUUAUCAUUUAUUAUCAUGAGUCGGCUUGACGUCAUAUUGUUGGAAUUCGUAUCUUGGAGUCAUUAACGAAUAUUAUGUUUAUCGCUAUUAUGUGUGUUUUUCAAACAUGUCCUCAUUUCUAUUUAAUUGUUUUAACUUUGUUUAUUUGUUCAGGCUUUUAUCUUGCACCUGAAAUAAAACGAACCGCAACACAAA